This 782-nucleotide non-coding RNA is filed under the name Libiocoris heissi. The record is from RNAcentral. Lineage: Eukaryota; Metazoa; Arthropoda; Insecta; Hemiptera; Aradidae.
GGGAGACACAGCGUUCCGAGUUGUAUUUUUUAUUAUUUUUGUAAGUUUGAUUCUAGCUUAUUUUAAUUGCUUUUUGGUAGAUAUAUAUACAUUUAUUUAUUAGAUAGUUUCUUGUUUGUAAUUUGGAAUUUUGUUUUAUGUUGGAGGAAUCUUGAGACAGUUAUUUUUAUAAUGAAUUGACUAAUUUUGUGCCAGCAGUCGCGGUUACACAAUUGAUUCAAGUGAUUAUGUGGUUGGUGCAUUCUUGCUUUUAUUUAAAAUUAAACAUAUUGAUUUAUUGGGUGGAAUCUUAACUUUUUUUUAUUAUUGUUUUGUGAUUAUGUUAAAGUUAGUUAUUAAACUAGGAUUAGAUACCCUAUUAUUCUGGCUGUAAUUUUUGUUCCUUUAAGACUUUUAGUUCUUUCUUUAAAUUAAAAGGAUUUGGCGGUAAUUUAAUCUUUUUAGAGGAACCUGUUUGGUAAAUGAUAAGCCACGAGGUAAUUUACUUUUAUUUUGCUUGUAUACCUCUAUGUUGAAUGUUCUAUUAGGAUUAUUUUCCUUUAUUAUUGGAUAAUGGAUUUUAGGUCAAGGUGCAGCUGUAUAAGAGGUUGAAUGGGUUACAGUUAUUUUAUUAUUGGAUUUUAAUGUGUAAUUAUUAUUGAAAGAGGAUUUAAAAGUAAUUUUUAUUAUAUAAUAAUGGUGAAUAUAGCUCUGGGUUAUGUACACAUCGCCCGUCGCUCCCGCUUAUAAAGGCGGGAUAAGUCGUAACAAAGUAGGCUUACCGGAAGGUGAGCCUGGUAAGU